This 495-nucleotide ribosomal RNA is filed under the name uncultured bacterium. RNAcentral's name for it is "partial 16S ribosomal RNA". It matches the Rfam family "Bacterial small subunit ribosomal RNA", at positions 28 to 507 of the family's 1533-position model. The record is from RNAcentral.
GACGAACGCUGGCGGCGUGCCUAAUACAUGCAAGUAGAACGCUGAAGGAGAAGCUUGCUUCUCUGGAUGAGUUGCGAACGGGUGAGUAACGCGUAGGUAACCUGCCUGGUAGCGGGGGAUAACUAUUGGAAACGAUAGCUAAUACCGCAUAAUAGUAGAUGUUGCAUGACAUUUGCUUAAAAGGUGCAAUUGCAUCACUACCAGAUGGACCUGCGUUGUAUUAGCUAGUUGGUGGGGUAACGGCUCACCAAGGCGACGAUACAUAGCCGACCUGAGAGGGUGAUCGGCCACACUGGGACUGAGACACGGCCCAGACUCCUACGGGAGGCAGCAGUAGGGAAUCUUCGGCAAUGGACGGAAGUCUGACCGAGCAACGCCGCGUGAGUGAAGAAGGUUUUCGGAUCGUAAAGCUCUGUUGUAAGAGAAGAACGAGUGUGAGAGUGGAAAGUUCACACUGUGACGGUAUCUUACCAGAAAGGGACGGCUAACUACGUG